Molecule: ribosomal RNA, 253 nt
Filed under: uncultured bacterium
Lineage: Bacteria
Description: partial 16S ribosomal RNA
Rfam family: Bacterial small subunit ribosomal RNA
Source: RNAcentral
UACGUAGGUGGCAAGCGUUAUCCGGAAUUAUUGGGCGUAAAGAGCGCGCAGGUGGUUAAUUAAGUCUGAUGUGAAAGCCCACGGCUUAACCGUGGAGGGUCAUUGGAAACUGGUUGACUUGAGUGCAGAAGAGGAGAGUGGAAUUCCUAGUGUAGCGGUGAAAUGCGUAGAUAUUAGGAGGAACACCAGUUGCGAAGGCGGCUCUCUGGACUGUAACUGACACUGAGGCACGAAAGCGUGGGGAGCAAACAGG